UAGGGCGUAGUAUACGAGUAUAUCUUAAUUACAAUAAGAAGGUUAAAGCUCUAA
This 54-nucleotide transfer RNA is filed under the name Trichinella zimbabwensis. RNAcentral describes it as "tRNA-Val". The record is from RNAcentral. Lineage: Eukaryota; Metazoa; Nematoda; Enoplea; Trichinellida; Trichinellidae.